Molecule: long non-coding RNA, 448 nt
Organism: Neogale vison (American mink)
Lineage: Eukaryota; Metazoa; Chordata; Mammalia; Carnivora; Mustelidae
Exons: 3
Source: RefSeq, a predicted model, not a curated record
UCCCCUCUCCUUCACAGGCCGGAAGUUGUUUCUUAGGAACCCCUGGGGUCCUGCAGGGCCCGGCGGCCCUGUGCAGUCAUCCGAGAGGGGCUGCCUGCAGACGACCUGCUUGCUAGCUUCGGAGCACAACGUGAAGCAACGCUAUGCUCUAGACCUCUCCCCUCCACACAAGGACAUUGACGCCUGAGGUGACCUUGAGGCAUGCUAAAGUUCGAGAAAUGCUGUUGUACAGAAGAAACUGGCUGUUGGAUACUCAGAAAAAUUGUGUUUUAUCAUUGUUGUUGUUAUGAAUUACUGCCUGGAGUACAAAAUAGACAGUCCCUACUUGAAGAGAUGAACGGUCUUGUUAACAGGAAGAUCAAAGCAUCGCAUGUGAAAUGACCGCAGAAGAGAAGUAGAAAUUGCCAGCUUCCAUGCAUUUGGGUGAGGCCGCAUGACUAAGGCCGAC